RNAcentral lists this ribosomal RNA (478 nucleotides) under uncultured bacterium. Its description in RNAcentral is "partial 16S ribosomal RNA". It matches the Rfam family "Bacterial small subunit ribosomal RNA", at positions 28 to 507 of the family's 1533-position model. The record is from RNAcentral.
GGUGAACGCUGGCGGCGUGCUUAACACAUGCAAGUCGAACGGGAAACCUUUUAUUGAAGCUUCGGCAGAUUUAGCUGGUUUCUAGUGGCGGACGGGUGAGUAACGCGUGGGUAACCUGCCUUAUACAGGGGGAUAACAGUCAGAAAUGGCUGCUAAUACCGCAUAAGCGCACAGAGCUGCAUGGCUCAGUGUGAAAAACUCCGGUGGUAUAAGAUGGACCCGCGUUGGAUUAGCUGGUUGGUGGGGUAACGGCCCACCAAGGCGACGAUCCAUAGCCGGCCUGAGAGGGUGAGCGGCCACAUUGGGACUGAGACACGGCCCAGACUCCUACGGGAGGCAGCAGUGGGGAAUAUUGCACAAUGGGGGAAACCCUGAUGCAGCGACGCCGCGUGAAGGAAGAAGUAUCUCGGUAUGUAAACUUCUAUCAGCAGGGAAGAUAAUGACGGUACCUGACUAAGAAGCCCCGGCUAACUACGUG